This 422-nucleotide ribosomal RNA is filed under the name uncultured bacterium. RNAcentral's name for it is "bacterial SSU rRNA". It matches the Rfam family "Bacterial small subunit ribosomal RNA", at positions 355 to 774 of the family's 1533-position model. The record is from RNAcentral.
UGAGGAAUAUUGGUCAAUGGGGGCAACCCUGAACCAGCCAAGUCGCGUGAAGGAUGAAGGUCUUAUGGAUUGUAAACUUCUUUUACACGGGAAUAAAGCGGGGGACGUGUCCCUCUUUGCAUGUACCGUGUGAAUAAGGAUCGGCUAACUCCGUGCCAGCAGCCGCGGUCAUACGGAGGAUCCGAGCGUUAUCCGGAUUUAUUGGGUUUAAAGGGUGCGCAGGCGGGAUGUUAAGUCGGCGGUGAAAUUUUGCAGCUCAACUGUAAAAGUGCCUUCGAUACUGGCCUUCUUGAGUGUUGAUGAAGUAGGCGGAAUUUGUGGUGUAGCGGUGAAAUGCUUAGAUAUCACGAGGAACUCCGAUUGCGCAGGCAGCUUACUAAGCCACAACUGACGCUCAUGCACGAAGGCGUGGGGAUCAAACA